CCCAACAGCAUGUCUUUACAGCAGCAUGGCUAACACCAACAACGGAAGCUAAAGUUACCCACAAUCCAUCAGGUGCAUCUUACACUACGUACUGUAGC
This is a long non-coding RNA of Sander lucioperca (pikeperch), 98 nucleotides long. RefSeq lists it as uncharacterized. The record is from RefSeq and is a predicted model, not a curated record. The transcript has 3 exons. Lineage: Eukaryota; Metazoa; Chordata; Actinopteri; Perciformes; Percidae.